ACAAGCAGCGGAGCGUGUGGUUUAAUUCGAUGCUACACGAAGAACCUUACCAGGGUUUGACAUGCAAGUGGUAGGAACCGAAAGGUGACCGACCCUUCGGGGAGCUUGCACAGGUGCUGCAUGGCUGUCGUCAGCUCGUGUCGUGAGAUGUUCGGUUAAGUCCGCUAACGAGCGCAACCCUCGCUGUGUGUUAUAUGUGUCACACGGGACUGCCGGUCUUAAGCCGGAGGAAGGUGGGGAUGAUGUCAAGUCAGCAUGGCCUUUAUAUCCUGGGCUACACACACGCUACAAUGGCCAGCACAGUAGGUUGCUAAGCCGCGAGGUGGAGCCAAUCCAUAAAGCUGGUCUCAGUUCAGAUUGCAGGCUGCAACCCGCCUGCAUGAAGAUGGAGUUGCUAGUAACCGCAGGUCAGCUAUACUGCGGUGAAUACGUUCCCGGGUCUU
RNAcentral lists this ribosomal RNA (443 nucleotides) under uncultured Leptolinea sp. RNAcentral's name for it is "bacterial SSU rRNA". It matches the Rfam family "Bacterial small subunit ribosomal RNA", at positions 925 to 1382 of the family's 1533-position model. The record is from RNAcentral. Lineage: Bacteria; Bacillati; Chloroflexota; Anaerolineae; Anaerolineales; Anaerolineaceae.